CAUUAAGUUGGGAGGAAGGGUUGUAGAUUAAUACUCUGCAGUUUAGACGUUACCGACAGAAUAAGCACCGGCUAACUCUGUGCCUGCAGCCGCGGUAAUACAGAGGUGCAAGCGUUAAUCGGAAUUACUGGGCGUAAAGCGCGCGUAGGUGGUUCGUUAAGUUGCAUGUGAAAUCCCC
This 178-nucleotide ribosomal RNA is filed under the name uncultured Pseudomonas sp. Its description in RNAcentral is "partial 16S ribosomal RNA". It matches the Rfam family "Bacterial small subunit ribosomal RNA", at positions 433 to 604 of the family's 1533-position model. Lineage: Bacteria; Pseudomonadati; Pseudomonadota; Gammaproteobacteria; Pseudomonadales; Pseudomonadaceae. The record is from RNAcentral.